GUGGAGAGAGAGAGAGAGAAAGGGACGCGGAGAGAGAGAGAGAGAGACGCUGUUUGGUUGAUCCAGUGAUUGAGUGUUGUUGUCGUACUGUCUAGUCCACUAGAGAGAGAGAGAGAGAGAGAGAGAGAGAGAGAAUAAACGUAGGCUAGACAAGAUCCCAAAUAGGGAAACACUCACUAAGCAAGUUACCUCUUUUUGCUUCAAAGAAAAAGAUACCUCUUUUUGUUUCAUCCUCGAUGUUCAAAGAUAGAUACGGACGUUUUCAUAUAUGAAGAGCAUUAAGUUUUGGGUACACAGGUGUACACAUACAACGAAGGGUAAAAGACUGAAUCAGUAAGUGAACCAUUGUUUUUGGUUUCUCUAAAAGUAUUCUAAAAACGUACUAAAGACGAGCAUCCUUUUUUUUUAAAUCCCAGUGAGCCUAUUUUCUUCGCUCUGGUAGUUAAAUAUACCUAACAAAAGAAUAUGGUGUUAAAGUAUCCUAAAAAUUCUUCUCUAAUUUGGGGUGGAUCACUUUUUAUCACCAAUCUGGAGUACCUUUAAACAUAAACACGGAGGGUGUGUAGAAGACAGUGAAGUAUAAGCGGAUGUCUUUAAUAAUCGUAGUUUACUCAGUUCAUUUAAGGGUAUAAUAUCAAAGGGUACCUGGUUUCUCCAGUAUUGUAGAGUUGGUAUGAAAAAACGGAUAAGUAUUCAAAAAUCUUUGGACUCAAGGUUUCUACGGGAAUAAUAACUAGUUCAUCACUUCCUUAACGUCAAAAACACAGGGUUUCUUGAUAACACUCGUAAGUAAGUAUUCUAUUGGUUCUUGUUUUCGAGUCGCAGAGACUUUAAUCUUUCAUACGUGACUAAAACCCCGAAGUAAUCAUUGAUAAAUGAAGUGACUACGAAGACAGUUGUGUCUAGAGGUGAUAUUAGAAUUCCCACCUGGAACUAACGGUGGUCACGAUGUUUUUCUAGGCGUUCUAAGAAACGUCGGAAGUUCUAGUUCUCUCCUAAUCCUGCUAGAGGAAGCUGUGGUUGUUAUUGCGUCAGUAGUAGCUGCCCGGCAAGCUAGGUGUGUUCGAUAGUACGUCCUAGUCUACGUUUCCUCCGUUCCACUAGUUCCCGCAGGUUUAGUACCCGCUGCCGUUCGGCCUUCUCUACCGGCCCGGUGGCGGCUCGUUGUCAGCGUUUUUCUUUAGUUUUAGUUUCCCCUUCCCCUUCCUCAGUGGCGGCGGCGGGCGACUCGUCGGUGUUCGUAUAGUAGGAGUCGGCGGGUGGCUCGUCGUCGGUGUCCGUAUGAUGGGAGUCGGCGGGUGACUCGUCGGUGGCCGUAUGGUGGUCGUCGGCGGGUGACUCGUCGGUGUCCUUAUGGUGGGAGUCGUCGUGUGGCUCGUCGUUGGCCGUAUGGUGGGAGUCGGCGGGCGACUCGUCGGUGUCCUUAUGGUGGUGGGAGUCGUCGGGGGAGGCCUGUCUCUCUACAGUCGCUGGUACGUCCGCCAGUCCCUCCUCCUCUCCGGCUUUCUCUCUGGCCGGCUCGAACUCUGCGGUUUCCUCUACGUCCAGGUGAAGCACGGUCUUCGUCCCGGUCUCACGGUGUUCUUGGGCUCCCUCUCCUCCGUGGGCUACCCUCUCUACGGCAGCACCUUGCCCGGCGGCUACCACCUCUAGGGGAGCGACGGCCGCGCUGGACACCCGAGCACGGCGACGUGCACGACGCGCAGUACGAUGGUCCCCAUGAUGCCUUCAACGUCCACGAGUCUGACGCCGUCCUGCAUGCCGAUGUGGCGGCGGCACCGCGACGGCGGCGGUCGGCCGACGAUGCCACCGCGUGCGCGCGGCAUGACGCCGCCUAUGUCGCCGAUGGCCCAAUAGACGCUCCUCCUAGUUCGCCCACGAACGUAGUAUUACACUAGACAAGUGACAAAGCACACGGUGUUGGUAACACGACGAAUCCGUUUAAACGUACACAAAACGCACAGAACUAAUGGUUACUAAGCACAUACGUAGACGAUACGUACUUAGUAAAAACAUCCCCCCCGAAACGUACUUAGCAGCGGUUGGCUACGAGAGGGUAAGUGUAGUCUAGUAAAGACUUUUCUGCUCUCUCUUAGCUACGGAAGGGAAAAAUAAUUUAUUUGAGCAAUAAGAACAAGUUAUUACAGAUGAAAAGAUGUACCACGGCAGUUUGUUGGAUCGUGAAACCGUCUAAGAACAAGCUAUCACAGAGGAAAAGUUGUAUCACCAAACUUUGUUAAAAAUCGUGAAACCGUUUAUUUACCACACACUCUUUAAGUAUGCCAAUUUACG
This 2292-nucleotide ribosomal RNA is filed under the name Triticum aestivum (bread wheat). Its description in RNAcentral is "partial small subunit ribosomal RNA". Lineage: Eukaryota; Viridiplantae; Streptophyta; Magnoliopsida; Poales; Poaceae. The record is from RNAcentral.